UGAAAGUUAGUUUAACGACAAAACGAGAGCUUGUGGCGCUUUAAAUGUGCGAGUAGUACACUUUUUA
This 67-nucleotide transfer RNA is filed under the name Lithophaga curta. RNAcentral's name for it is "tRNA-His". The record is from RNAcentral. Lineage: Eukaryota; Metazoa; Mollusca; Bivalvia; Mytilida; Mytilidae.